RNAcentral lists this ribosomal RNA (406 nucleotides) under uncultured bacterium. RNAcentral's name for it is "partial 16S ribosomal RNA". It matches the Rfam family "Bacterial small subunit ribosomal RNA", at positions 30 to 526 of the family's 1533-position model. The record is from RNAcentral.
AUUGAACGCUGGCGGCAGGCCUAACACAUGCAAGUCGAACGAGUGGCGGACGGGUGAGUAAUGUCUGGGAAACUGCCUGAUGGAGGGGGAUAACUACUGGACACGGUAGCUAAUACCGCAUACCAUCGGAUGUGCCCAGAUGGGAUUAGCUAGUAGGUGGGGUAACGGCGCACCUGGGCGACGAUCCCUAGCUGGUCUGAGAGGAAGACUGGCCACACUGGAACGGAGCAACGGUCCAGACUCCUACGGGAGGCAGCAGGGGGGAAUAUUGCACAAUGGGCGCAAGCCUGAUGCAGCCAUGCCGCGUGUAUGAAGAAGGCCUUCGGGUUGUAAAGUACUUUCAGUGGGGAGGCGUUACCCGCAGAAGAAGCACCGGCUAACUCCGUGCCAGCAGCCGCGGUAAUUC